Molecule: long non-coding RNA, 2703 nt
Organism: Canis lupus familiaris (dog)
Lineage: Eukaryota; Metazoa; Chordata; Mammalia; Carnivora; Canidae
Exons: 3
Source: RefSeq, a predicted model, not a curated record
UAGCCAAAGGGAAAGGCUGCCUUGCGUGCACGAGUGCGCCAGGAGACACAAGAAAGAGGUUGGUCCAUUGCUUCAGAGUAACUGAUGGCAGCCUAUAGGCUCAGCGGUGUCCAGGGUAGUUUAAGGAAGGCUGGCCAGAACGUAGGAGGAUCAUGGGACAGUUACUGGCCCUCCAUGGCCAGGAGGUUGUGACUGGAGGGCACCAUGCCCUCCCUCUCUGCGAACUCCAGGAUUGCCUUGUAGCAAAAAUAGUACUGCUCAGGGGUCUGGAUGCUGAAGGCCCUCUGGGUCCUCAUGCGGGACACUGUCUGGAAUACAUUAAGGGUGCCAAGCUCUUCCAGCUGUGCCAAGCAGAUGUCCAGUGAGCAGAAGGUACCUGAAGGAAGGAAAGAAAUGGUCACAUUUGACUUAUCUCUCCUCCAUCCCUCCCUCUACCAAACGACCCAGGCAGAUUGGAUGAAUGCACUCAAAAGCAAGGGGCCCCAUGAUGGACCAGGCGGGCAUUAGGCCUGACGGGAUUCAAGAGGAGGUCACUUUGGAGUGCUGGGAGCCCAGAGAAGCGACAAGGCCUCUUGGCUCUCAGGACAGUAUGGAGGUAACAGGAAGAGUAGGUGGGAAGGUGACACAGAGGAACUGCCUGCUUCAAUCUCAGACAGAAUGACAACAUUCCCACUCUUGGGUCCUAAUUUUCAGAGGCUCCACAACUCUUCCACAGAGACCUCACAGAAACCUAUUCUUCCCGACUUUGUCCCAAAGGGGCCUCUGAACUAGAAAGCCCAGCAGUCCCUGCAAUGCACAUGCCCCUGAGCUAAAAGCUGCGGACUAGCUCCAGAAUGAGAGCACAGCUCAGGUGGGGAUCUCCUUAGGGAGGGGGAUGGGAAGGAAGCAACAGCCCAGACGACAGUGAGGGGGUCGGAAGAUAAUCAUACUGAUGGGAUGUGCCAACCCCCAGGAGACUGGCCUCUGGAGUGUACAUUCUGGCCCGCACAGCUGGUGCUAGGGAUGCCAAAAGGCCAUUAAAGGGGAAUUUUUCAUGGCAAUUCACUGCCAAUGGAUCAAAUUCUCGCAAACUGGCAACUAAGAGUGUUGUUGUCUUUCCCCCACCCUUAUUACCUCUGGAUGCUCCGAGAGCUGCCCCAACGUCAGGUGCAUUACCUGUCCGGCCAAUGCCUGCACUGCAAUGGACGACAAUGGGUGGUUCAGGGCACUGCCCUUUGGCUCGUACUCCCAUGCUGCUGACCGCCAGCCUCUGCUGGUUCCUGACCACUCUCAAGAAGUCGAUGAGAGAAGCUGCUGAGGAAGGGACACCGUAAUCUGGCCAGCUCAGGAACUGAAAGUGGGUCACCUGGCGUUUCUGCCGCUCCUUGGAUGAGAAAAGAAGCCAAGUUAACAGGUCAUUUCUGCUUGCCCCUGACCACAUACAUUUAGCUUUUCUAGAUUCUCAACCCUCUGAUAUCCUCACCACGCAGGCUCCUGCCUACCACCCUCAACUUUCUCCGCAAUUGCUUCUCUGCAAACCCAGAAAAGGUUAAAUGUCGGGAGAGGACAAUAUAGGAAUUCCCUAUAUUGUAGGACCCAGAUUUCUAUUAUGUUUUUAUUCCCAAGUAAUGUCACUGUUGCAUCGAGACAAUAUGGCUAUAUUGGCUCUUAGCUGAAUAUUCUGAUCCUGUUCCCAGAAAAACGAAAGUAAUGUAUAAGCUGCCUGGAUUCUUGCCUAUUCCCUUUGGGGAUUUUCUUUACAGCAAAGCCCCCAGCGUAAAAAAAAGUGAGAUAACAGAAACCAGGAUUUACCUCUGUGUUGUGAAUUUCUAGCGUUGUUUUCUUAUAAUGGUUCAUGUUCUCCACGCCUAGAUUGGUCACCGUGAGGAAGCCAAAUCGGAUCCGAGAGUCUCUUUCUAACGGCCAGUACUGGCCACACUUUCUCCUGCCACCCUCCUCAAAGCUGAAGACAACACAGAGCAAGCAGUCAAUACUGACCUCAUACCACUAUGUUCUACUCUGAUGAGACAUCUUCGCUGAGCUAAGGGACCAUCUCCAGAGGACCCAGCAGGUUAAGAGUCUCAUUCACUCCCAGCCACGCUGCUCAUACCAGGGCCCACUGUAGUCAGCCAAAGCUAUACUCUGCUCAGCCUGGCACAUUCAAGUUGUAUACCCUACAGGACUCGGGUACUGGAGACAGAGCAGUCAAGAAGACAGAUAAAUACAGGUAUCUGAUUCCAGAGCCCCAGCUCAACCAGUACACUUCACUUCUUGAGAGUAUAUACCUGAAGAUCUCAGGAACAGUGAUGAGCUUGUCCUAGGUCAGCCGGGCUCUGAGCUAAUGCUCCUGCAGGAAAACCCUUUGUAAGGGUCCUAGAUAGGGCUAUGAAUUCGGUUUAUGUACUUUGAAACAGUAGGGUCAAGAGAUUAAAAUCAUGAUCCUAGGGUCUCAACUCACAUAUCAUAUACACUCCAAUACAAGGCAAUGAUUUUCCCCUAAAAAAAGAGGCAGGAUAUAACAAGUCCCUAUAAAGUUAAAGGGGCACUAUUUAAAUUCCUUUACUUUGAAUAACAGCCUGAAUCAAUGCUGGUUUUUUGAUGCAUAUGGAGGGCACCAGACAGAAUUAAAUAUACAAAGAAAAAAGACGCCUGGGUGGCUCAGAGGUUGAGCAUCUCCCUUCGGCCCAGGGUGUGAUCCUGGACACUUGGGAUCGAGUCCCACAU